This 1265-nucleotide ribosomal RNA is filed under the name Pseudomonas orientalis. RNAcentral describes it as "partial 23S ribosomal RNA". It matches the Rfam family "Bacterial large subunit ribosomal RNA", at positions 1584 to 2838 of the family's 2925-position model. Lineage: Bacteria; Pseudomonadati; Pseudomonadota; Gammaproteobacteria; Pseudomonadales; Pseudomonadaceae. The record is from RNAcentral.
GACGAAGUGGUUGAUGCCAUGCUUCCAAGAAAAGCUUCUAAGCUUCAGGUAACCAGGAACCGUACCCCAAACCGACACAGGUGGUUGGGUAGAGAAUACCAAGGCGCUUGAGAGAACUCGGGUGAAGGAACUAGGCAAAAUGGCACCGUAACUUCGGGAGAAGGUGCGCCGGUGAGGGUGAAGGACUUGCUCCGUAAGCUCAUGCCGGUCGAAGAUACCAGGCCGCUGCGACUGUUUAUUAAAAACACAGCACUCUGCAAACACGAAAGUGGACGUAUAGGGUGUGACGCCUGCCCGGUGCCGGAAGGUUAAUUGAUGGGGUUAGCUAACGCGAAGCUCUUGAUCGAAGCCCCGGUAAACGGCGGCCGUAACUAUAACGGUCCUAAGGUAGCGAAAUUCCUUGUCGGGUAAGUUCCGACCUGCACGAAUGGCGUAACGAUGGCGGCGCUGUCUCCACCCGAGACUCAGUGAAAUUGAAAUCGCUGUGAAGAUGCAGUGUAUCCGCGGCUAGACGGAAAGACCCCGUGAACCUUUACUAUAGCUUUGCACUGGACUUUGAAUUUGCUUGUGUAGGAUAGGUGGGAGGCUUUGAAGCGUGGACGCCAGUCUGCGUGGAGCCAACCUUGAAAUACCACCCUGGCAACUUUGAGGUUCUAACUCAGGUCCGUUAUCCGGAUCGAGGACAGUGUAUGGUGGGUAGUUUGACUGGGGCGGUCUCCUCCUAAAGAGUAACGGAGGAGUACGAAGGUGCGCUCAGACCGGUCGGAAAUCGGUCGUAGAGUAUAAAGGCAAAAGCGCGCUUGACUGCGAGACAGACACGUCGAGCAGGUACGAAAGUAGGUCUUAGUGAUCCGGUGGUUCUGUAUGGAAGGGCCAUCGCUCAACGGAUAAAAGGUACUCCGGGGAUAACAGGCUGAUACCGCCCAAGAGUUCAUAUCGACGGCGGUGUUUGGCACCUCGAUGUCGGCUCAUCACAUCCUGGGGCUGAAGCCGGUCCCAAGGGUAUGGCUGUUCGCCAUUUAAAGUGGUACGCGAGCUGGGUUUAGAACGUCGUGAGACAGUUCGGUCCCUAUCUGCCGUGGACGUUUGAGAUUUGAGAGGGGCUGCUCCUAGUACGAGAGGACCGGAGUGGACGAACCUCUGGUGUUCCGGUUGUCACGCCAGUGGCAUUGCCGGGUAGCUAUGUUCGGAAUAGAUAACCGCUGAAAGCAUCUAAGCGGGAAACUAGCCUCAAGAUGAGAUCUCACUGGAACCUUGAGUUCCCU